UUAAGCGACUAAGCGUACACGGUGGAUGCCCUGGCAGUCAGAGGCGAUGAAGGACGUGCUAAUCUGCGAUAAGCGUCGGUAAGGUGAUAUGAACCGUUAUAACCGGCGAUUUCCGAAUGGGGAAACCCAGUGUGUUUCGUCACACUAUCAUUAACUGAAUCCAUAGGUUAAUGAGGCGAACCGGGGGAACUGAAACAUCUAAGUACCCCGAGGAAAAGAAAUCAACCGAGAUUCCCCCAGUAGCGGCGAGCGAACGGGGAGGAGCCCAGAGCCUGAAUCAGUGUGUGUGUUAGUGGAAGCGUCUGGAAAGGCGCGCGAUACAGGGUGACAGCCCCGUACAACAAAAAUGCACAUGCUGUGAGCUCGAUGAGUAGGGCGGGACACGUGGUAUCCUGUCUGAAUAUGGGGGGACCAUCCUCCAAGGCUAAAUACUCCUGACUGACCGAUAGUGAACCAGUACCGUGAGGGAAAGGCGAAAAGAACCCCGGCGAGGGGAGUGAAAAAGAACCUGAAACCGUGUACGUACAAGCAGUGGGAGCACGCUUAGGCGUGUGACUGCGUACCUUUUGUAUAAUGGGUCAGCGACUUAUAUUCUGUAGCAAGGUUAACCGAAUAGGGGAGCCGAAGGGAAACCGAGUCUUAACUGGGCGUUAAGUUGCAGGGUAUAGACCCGAAACCCGGUGAUCUAGCCAUGGGCAGGUUGAAGGUUGGGUAACACUAACUGGAGGACCGAACCGACUAAUGUUGAAAAAUUAGCGGAUGACUUGUGGCUGGGGGUGAAAGGCCAAUCAAACCGGGAGAUAGCUGGUUCUCCCCGAAAGCUAUUUAGGUAGCGCCUCGUGAAUUCAUCUCCGGGGGUAGAGCACUGUUUCGGCAAGGGGGUCAUCCCGACUUACCAACCCGAUGCAAACUGCGAAUACCGGAGAAUGUUAUCACGGGAGACACACGGCGGGUGCUAACGUCCGUCGUGAAGAGGGAAACAACCCAGACCGCCAGCUAAGGUCCCAAAGUCAUGGUUAAGUGGGAAACGAUGUGGGAAGGCCCAGACAGCCAGGAUGUUGGCUUAGAAGCAGCCAUCAUUUAAAGAAAGCGUAAUAGCUCACUGGUCGAGUCGGCCUGCGCGGAAGAUGUAACGGGGCUAAACCAUGCACCGAAGCUGCGGCAGCGACGCUGAUGCGUUGUUGGGUAGGGGAGCGUUCUGUAAGCCUGUGAAGGUGUGCUGUGAGGCAUGCUGGAGGUAUCAGAAGUGCGAAUGCUGACAUAAGUAACGAUAAAGCGGGUGAAAAGCCCGCUCGCCGGAAGACCAAGGGUUCCUGUCCAACGUUAAUCGGGGCAGGGUGAGUCGACCCCUAAGGCGAGGCCGAAAGGCGUAGUCGAUGGGAAACAGGUUAAUAUUCCUGUACUUGGUGUUACUGCGAAGGGGGGACGGAGAAGGCUAUGUUGGCCGGGCGACGGUUGUCCCGGUUUAAGCGUGUAGGCUGGUUUUCCAGGCAAAUCCGGAAAACUAAGGCUGAGGCGUGAUGACGAGGCACUACGGUGCUGAAGCAACAAAUGCCCAGCUUCCAGGAAAAGCCUCUAAGCAUCAGGUAACAUCAAAUCGUACCCCAAACCGACACAGGUGGUCAGGUAGAGAAUACCAAGGCGCUUGAGAGAACUCGGGUGAAGGAACUAGGCAAAAUGGUGCCGUAACUUCGGGAGAAGGCACGCUGAUAUGUAGGUGAAGUCCCUCGCGGAUGGAGCUGAAAUCAGUCGAAGAUACCAGCUGGCUGCAACUGUUUAUUAAAAACACAGCACUGUGCAAACACGAAAGUGGACGUAUACGGUGUGACGCCUGCCCGGUGCCGGAAGGUUAAUUGAUGGGGUCAGCGCAAGCGAAGCUCUUGAUCGAAGCCCCGGUAAACGGCGGCCGUAACUAUAACGGUCCUAAGGUAGCGAAAUUCCUUGUCGGGUAAGUUCCGACCUGCACGAAUGGCGUAAUGAUGGCCAGGCUGUCUCCACCCGAGACUCAGUGAAAUUGAACUCGCUGUGAAGAUGCAGUGUACCCGCGGCAAGACGGAAAGACCCCGUGAACCUUUACUAUAGCAUGACACUGAACAUUGAGCCUUGAUGUGUAGGAUAGGUGGGAGGCUUUGAAGUGUGGACGCCAGUCUGCAUGGAGCCGACCUUGAAAUACCACCCUUUAAUGUUUGAUGUUCUAACGUUGACCCGUAAUCCGGGUUGCGGACAGUGUCUGGUGGGUAGUUUGACUGGGGCGGUCUCCUCCUAAAGAGUAACGGAGGAGCACGAAGGUUGGCUAAUCCUGGUCGGACAUCAGGAGGUUAGUGCAAUGGCAUAAGCCAGCUUGACUGCGAGCGUGACGGCGCGAGCAGGUGCGAAAGCAGGUCAUAGUGAUCCGGUGGUUCUGAAUGGAAGGGCCAUCGCUCAACGGAUAAAAGGUACUCCGGGGAUAACAGGCUGAUACCGCCCAAGAGUUCAUAUCGACGGCGGUGUUUGGCACCUCGAUGUCGGCUCAUCACAUCCUGGGGCUGAAGUAGGUCCCAAGGGUAUGGCUGUUCGCCAUUUAAAGUGGUACGCGAGCUGGGUUUAGAACGUCGUGAGACAGUUCGGUCCCUAUCUGCCGUGGGCGCUGGAGAACUGAGGGGGGCUGCUCCUAGUACGAGAGGACCGGAGUGGACGCAUCACUGGUGUUCGGGUUGUCAUGCCAAUGGCACUGCCCGGUAGCUAAAUGCGGAAGAGAUAAGUGCUGAAAGCAUCUAAGCACGAAACUUGCCCCGAGAUGAGUUCUCCCUGACCCUUUAAGGGUCCUGAAGGAACGUUGAAGACGACGACGUUGAUAGGCCGGGUGUGUAAGCGCAGCGAUGCGUUGAGCUAACCGGUACUAAUGAACCGUGAGGCUUAACCUU
This 2903-nucleotide ribosomal RNA is filed under the name Escherichia coli DEC8E. Its description in RNAcentral is "bacterial LSU rRNA". It matches the Rfam family "Bacterial large subunit ribosomal RNA". Lineage: Bacteria; Pseudomonadati; Pseudomonadota; Gammaproteobacteria; Enterobacterales; Enterobacteriaceae. The record is from RNAcentral.